UGCNNGUCGAGGGGUAACAGGGAGAAGCUUGCUUUUCUGCUGACGACCGGCGCACGGGUGCGUAACGCGUAUGCAACCUACCUUCUACAGGGGGAUAGCCCAGAGAAAUUUGGAAUAAUACCCCAUACGAUCAAUGAUUGGCAUCGAUUAUUGAAGAAAACUCCGGUGGUAGAAGAUGGGCAUGCGUCCUAUUAGUUAGUUGGUGAGGUAACGGCUCACCAAGACUUCGAUAGGUAGGGGCCCUGAGAGGGGGAUCCCCCACACUGGUACUGAGACACGGACCAGACUCCUACGGGAAGCAGCAGUGAGGAAUAUUGGACAAUGGGGGAAACCCUGAUGCAGCGAUGCCGCGUGAGUGAAGAAGGCCCUUGGGUUGUAAAACUCUUUCGUCGGGGAAGAAAAUGACUGUACCCGAAUAAGAAGGUCCGGCUAACUUCGUGCCAGCAGCCGCGGUAAUACGAAGGGACCUAGCGUAGUUCGGAAUUACUGGGCUUAAAGAGCUCGUAGGUGGUUAAAAAAGUUGAUGGUGAAAUCCCAAGGCUCAACCUUGGAACUGCCAUCAAAACUUUUUAGCUAGAGUGUGAUAGAGGUAAGUGGAAUUUCUAGUGUAGAGGUGAAAUUCGUAGAUAUUAGAAAGACCACCAAAUGCGAAGGCAACUUACUGGGUCACUACUGACACUGANGANCGAAAGCAUGGGUAGCGAANANGANUAGAUACCCUCGUAGUCCAUGCCGUAAACGAUGUGUGCUAGACGUUGGAAAUAUAUUUUUCAGUGUCGCAGCGAAAGCNUUAANCACACCGNCUGGGGNNUACGANCGCNNGGNUAAAACUCAAAUGAAUUGACGGGGACCCGCACAAGCAGUGGANCNUGNGGNUUAAUUCGAAGA
RNAcentral lists this ribosomal RNA (888 nucleotides) under uncultured bacterium. RNAcentral describes it as "partial 16S small subunit ribosomal RNA". It matches the Rfam family "Bacterial small subunit ribosomal RNA", at positions 56 to 957 of the family's 1533-position model. The record is from RNAcentral.